This 859-nucleotide ribosomal RNA is filed under the name uncultured bacterium. Its description in RNAcentral is "bacterial SSU rRNA". It matches the Rfam family "Bacterial small subunit ribosomal RNA", at positions 512 to 1384 of the family's 1533-position model. The record is from RNAcentral.
CAGCCGCGGUAAUACGUAGGGCCCGAGCAUUAUCCGGAAUUAUUGGGCGUAAAGAGCGUGUAGGUGGCCUUACAAGUCGGUCGUUAAAUCUCAGAGCUCAACUCUGAGACCGCGAGCGAUACUGUAGGGCUUCGAGGUUUGCAGGGGCUAGCAGAAUUUCCAGAGUAGGGGUGAAAUCCGUUGAUACUGGAAGGAAUACCAAUGGCGAAGGCAGCUAGCUGGGCAACACCUGACACUGAGACGCGAAAGCGUGGGGAGCGAACGGGAUUAGAUACCCCGGUAGUCCACGCCGUAAACUCUGUCAACUAGCAAUUAGAAGAGUCGACCCUUGUAGUUGCGAAGCUAACGCGUCAAGUUGACCGCCUGGGAAGUACGAUCGCAAGAUUAAAACUCAAAGGAAUUGGCGGGGGCUCGCACAAGUGGUGGAGCAUGUGGUUUAAUUCGACAAUAACCGAGGAACCUUAUCCAGGGCUUGACAUCUUGGGAAUCCCGCAGAAACGUGGGAGUGCCGCAAGGAGCCCAAAGACAGGUACUGCACGGUCGUCGUCAGUUCGUGGCGUGAGCUGUGAGGUUAAGUCCUUGAACGAACGAAACCCUCGUCCUAUGUUGGAUAUUCAUAGGAGACAGCCCUGGUAACAGGGAGGAAGGCGGGGAUGACGUCAGAUCCGCGUGGUCUUUAUGCCCUGGGCAACACACGUGCUACAAUCCAGCGUACAAAGGGUUGCCAAACCGUAAGGUGGAGCUAAUCCCAGAAAGCGUUGGUUAGUUCGGAUUGGGGGCUGCAACUCGCCCCCAUGAAGCCGGAAUCACUAGUAAUCGUGGAUCAGCAUGCCACGGUGAAUACGUUCUCGAGCCUUGC